RNAcentral lists this ribosomal RNA (96 nucleotides) under Corylus americana. Lineage: Eukaryota; Viridiplantae; Streptophyta; Magnoliopsida; Fagales; Betulaceae. The record is from RNAcentral.
UGCACCGGAUCCCAUCAGAACUCCGCAGUGAAGCGUGCUUGGGCGAGAGUAGUACUGGGAUGGGUGACCUCCUGGGAAGUCCUCGUGUUGCACCCC